Molecule: long non-coding RNA, 268 nt
Filed under: Phaseolus vulgaris (common bean)
Lineage: Eukaryota; Viridiplantae; Streptophyta; Magnoliopsida; Fabales; Fabaceae
Description: long non-coding RNA (PVUL_LNC001657)
Source: RNAcentral
UCGAAAGGGAAGCUAAAGAAAAAGAAAAAGAAAAAGAAAAGCAUGAGAAGACCCUUGAGAAACAAAAGGCGUGGGAAAAGAGUGUUCCUUCCCACAAGGUCAUUCAACAAGACAAAAGAUUUAAAAAUACCUUUGAAAAUAUGUGUCUUGUUGAACAACCUCAAAGCCUUACCUUUUGUAAAGGAACACUUGCAAGCAUAGAAAAAAAAGAAGAAUCCUUAAAAGAGGCUUGCAUAGAUUAUUUUACAUAUAUACCAAGAUAUCCCCA